This 1115-nucleotide long non-coding RNA is filed under the name Mytilus galloprovincialis (Mediterranean mussel). Lineage: Eukaryota; Metazoa; Mollusca; Bivalvia; Mytilida; Mytilidae. The record is from RNAcentral.
AAAAAAAAAAAAUGAUUUAUACCCGCAAGCCCCCUUAAAUUAAUUUAUAUAGAGACUUAAUUUUUUUUUUGAGAAAUGGGGAGAUUUGCUUAGGAAAAUUUUUGUUUGACAAAAUUAAGUCUAUUGUUUGGCAAGUCUAUUUUUUUUUAUAAUACAUGUUACUGGUACUUUUACACAAGGUGAUUUUCAUUAUGGAGGUUUUUUUUUACUCAUUUUGGAUGAAGAAUAUCAAUUGAACAAUGAUAUUUCUAUGUUUUAUGUAGUUGUGUAAUGGUUUGUUAUGUUGUAGAAUUAAUUGGAAUGACUGACUGUAUAUGUAUCAUCAGUAUUUGUGUCAUAUUUAUGUAGCCUGAUUAAUUAGUCAGUGUCUCUGCUUCUAAAGCUAGUCAGAGUAAAAAUUGUAUUUGAAUCGCUGCAUGGUAACAAUUCAUAAUUCUGAGUUCAAAUUUAGUUUAUUUAACUACAUGCAACACAGAUAUGGUAAUUUAGAAUAAGAUCUUUUUUUGAAGGGUCUUUACAAAAAAGAAGUUAUAUAAAAAAGUAUCUUUGAUAUUCCGAGAGAUGCAAUCCUAGAAUACUUUUUGUGGGUUUUAUUCACCAUUUUGGAAAUAAAAGUUGUGAUAAUGAUUCUGCUUAGUGGUGUUAGUUUCUAACCUUCUGCAUCAUUUGGUCUCUGGUGGAGAGUUGUCUUAUUGGCAAUCAUACCACAUCUUCUUAUUUUCAUAUUAGAGUUAUAUGGGUAGCUUCCUCAUUUGCAAUCAUGCUGCAUUUUUUAUUUUAAUGAAAGUGCUUGUUAGAGGGAGGAUACUUUAUUUUCAAUAUUUUUUCUUCUAGUAUCAUCUAGUGCAAUGUGUUAGAUAUUCCUAAGACAGUGAUUGAGAGGGGACCACUGAACUUAAUUCUAUUUUUGUAUUUUAUAUUAUACACCUUAUGAACAAACAUUCCAGAACUUUUUUUGAUAAAUUUUAAUUUAAAACAAUAUUGUUAUUAUUUAUAUUUUUAAAUUCCACAAUUCCAUAAUUUUGCAUUUAAUGAUUCCAUGAUGAUUUGCUCGUUAAUAUAUAUUAUUAGUUAUAUAUUUUAAAUUUUCUGAAAUCCUUACUUUAAUAGCAGAA